RNAcentral lists this ribosomal RNA (253 nucleotides) under uncultured bacterium. Its description in RNAcentral is "partial 16S ribosomal RNA". It matches the Rfam family "Archaeal small subunit ribosomal RNA", at positions 474 to 727 of the family's 1478-position model. The record is from RNAcentral.
UACCAGCACCCCGAGUGGUCGGGACGAUUAUUGGGCCUAAAGCAUCCGUAGCCGGUCAUGCAAGUCCUCCGUUAAAUCCAGCCGCUCAACGGUUGGGCUGCGGAGGAUACUACGUGGCUAGGAGGCGGGAGAGGCAAGCGGUACUUAGUGGGUAGGGGUAAAAUCCGUUGAUCCAUUGAAGACCACCAGUGGCGAAGGCGGCUUGCCAGAACGCACUCGACGGUGAGGGAUGAAAGCUGGGGGAGCAAACCGG